Molecule: ribosomal RNA, 660 nt
Filed under: uncultured bacterium
Lineage: Bacteria
Description: bacterial SSU rRNA
Rfam family: Bacterial small subunit ribosomal RNA
Source: RNAcentral
AGUGGCGGACGGGUGAGUAACGCGUGAGAAUCUGCCUUGGGGUCGGGGACAACCACUGGAAACGGUGGCUAAUACCGGAUAAGCCGAUUGGUGAAAGAUUUAUUGCCCGAAGAGGAGCUCGCGUCUGAUUAGCUAGUUGGUGAGGUAAGAGCUCACCAAGGCAGCGAUCAGUAGCUGGUCUGAGAGGACGAUCAGCCACACUGGGACUGAGACACGGCCCAGACUCCUACGGGAGGCAGCAGUGGGGAAUUUUCCGCAAUGGGCGAAAGCCUGACGGAGCAAGACCGCGUGAGGGAGGAAGGCUCUUGGGUUGUAAACCUCUUUUCUCAGGGAAGAAGCUCUGACGGUACCUGAGGAAUCAGCCUCGGCUAACUCCGUGCCAGCAGCCGCGGUAAUACGGAGGAGGCAAGCGUUAUCCGGAAUUAUUGGGCGUAAAGCGUCCGCAGGUGGCGAUUCAAGUCUGCUGUCAAAGCACGGGGCUUAACUCCGUAAAGGCAGUGGAAACUGAAUAGCUAGAGUGCCGUAGGAGUAGAGGGAAUUCCCGGUGUAGCGGUGAAAUGCGUAGAGAUCGGGAAGAACAUCGGUGGCGAAAGCGCUCUACUGGACGGCAACUGACACUCAGGGACGAAAGCUAGGGUAGCGAAUGGGAUUAGAUACCCC